AUGUCGUUGUUGGUGACGCCUGACAGCGCCGACCGCGCCGAGGCAGUACCUCAUGCCAUCCACCACUCGUCUCCUCCUCGUGCCCAACGCAUGGAACAGUCGGGUCAACAGCCGAGACCGGGCUUUUGGAAGCCGGCGGCGUUAGUGGAGCCAACUCUUCUUCGUCAGUCAUCCUCAUUAUCCUCGUCGGCGAGGGAGGCCCAGGACACAGGCCGGGUCGCUACAGGCGACGAGUUGGAGUGCGGCUCUUCCGGUGCUGGGGCCGGGGACGACCCGGAGUGGGGCGCCGCCGGUGCCGUCGGUGGAAGGAUGGAGGCGGCAGCAGCAAGUGGAGCCGGAGCCAAGGGCGCGGUUGAAGUCGUGGACGUCGUCGCCUCCUUGGUGAGGAGCGCGCGGGACACCCUCCUCCCAUGA
RNAcentral lists this ribosomal RNA (414 nucleotides) under Triticum aestivum (bread wheat). RNAcentral's name for it is "partial small subunit ribosomal RNA". The record is from RNAcentral. Lineage: Eukaryota; Viridiplantae; Streptophyta; Magnoliopsida; Poales; Poaceae.